Molecule: long non-coding RNA, 2462 nt
Organism: Sapajus apella (tufted capuchin)
Lineage: Eukaryota; Metazoa; Chordata; Mammalia; Primates; Cebidae
Exons: 2
Source: RefSeq, a predicted model, not a curated record
GAUAGGCAAAUACAUUAGAAAAAAAUGAGACCUGUUCCAUUUUAAAACUUUUAUUUCCUAUGUGAGGAGGUCAGGGAAGGCUUGUUUCAAAGGCAAUAUUUGGGUGAAGCUGACAGGAGGUCGCAGUGCAGAUGUCUGGGGAAAGGUGUUACAGGCAGAAGGAACAAGACACAGGGAUCCCGAGGCAGGGGCCAGCCAAUCCUCUGGAAAUAUCAAAGGCCAGAUUGCUUGGUGCAGAGUGAGCAGGAAUUCAGAAAGGCUACAGGGAGCUAGGUCGCGUAGGACUGUGUUGCAGGCUUGGUUCUCCAGAAACAGACUCUGAGAGGGAAUUGGGUGAGCAGGUCAUGUUUUAGGGAGUGCUGUUGAAAUGAAGACAAAUGGAAAGGAGUGGGAGGAAGUAGGAUAGAAACAGGUCGAGCUGCAGUGCAGACCCAGUAACUGUCUGAGGUGACCCCCACAUGGAGCACUGGCCUGAGAGUGGCCUCUGGAGUUGUCCUGAUUAGGGUGAUGUAUCUGGGUCGUGAUGACCCCAUGUGGCCCAGUCAUUGGAUAUGGGCUGCCCUGGGAAGACUCUGUGACCUUGGGUGAGGUGACAUCAGCUGAUACAGUCCUGAAGACGUUGACAGCUGGGGAAUGCCUGCCACCAGCUCUAGCAGCAGGGGAUUAGGUCACCCUGAAGAGGAGCUGGGCGGCUCAUCACAGGGUCCAGCACGACCUUCGGGCCUCAGAAGGAGCUCUGGCUUUUCUUCCGGUGGAAUGGAGAAUCUUUGGAUGGUUUUGUGAGUAGAGGAGUGAAGUAACCUUUUUGCAUGUAAAGACCACUCUGGCUGGCAUUUUGAGACUAGAAUGGGGAGAGAUGAGACCAGGGAGAAGCUGCGGCAAUCUGAUGAGGCAGCCUGCGUUGGGGUGGCAAGAAAUGGCCAGUUCUACAUGUAUUUGGCUGCCAGAGCCAACAGAUCUUCCCACUAUAUAGGGUGUAGAGUGUGUGGGAGAGAGAGUCAGGGCUGAGUCACUGUGCAUAAAUUUGGAGUCAGCAGCUUAGAGAUGGCUUGUGAAGCUCCUUCAGGGGACAGAAAGACUAGACAGAGUAAAACAAGGACUAGGCCCGAGUCAUUAAGAGAUCACAUAUGGGUGUGUAUAUGGAGAUAAUUUUGAAGAUUCUACACACUCCCCCCUACUCCAGUUACAUGAGUAUCUGUUGACUCUAAAAAACAUGAAUUUAACACCACAGUGGUUUUUGAACUUGAUAAUAGAGUUCUAAAGUUCCCAAAAGCUUCCUCAAGAGGCCUCUAGGGUCCUGAGAGUUGUAAAUGCAGCAGGAGCCUUCAGGUAACAAAUGAAAAAUGAUUCUUCUGCUUAGAAAAUAUUUGAAUAUCAUCACUAAAUUAUUUUUAGGUAGAAUAGAUAAAGUGUCUUUUCAAAUUUAGCAUUAGGACUAAACCAACCAUACAGUUCUGAAAAGCUCCUCUUUCUCUCUGUGCCGAUCUGUCAAACACAGCGUUCCAGACUCAUUGUUCUAUUCUGUUUUUAGCACUCACUCCCAAAGUGUAACCCCCACCCCCACACACCAGGUCCCUCUUUUUCCACUUCAUUCUACUAUUCACUUCAUUCUUUAAUUCUUUUGUCUUUUUGCUGCAGUUUCGCCAUACUUUUUUAGAUCCAAUUUUAUAAUAAUUUAAUUUCAAAAGAUGUAAUUGGAAUUGGAAUAGGCCUUUUGUACCUUACCUUUCUUUUGUUUUUUAAUGACUGGGAAUCGAUUUGUUAACUUAAUCCAAGGGAGUUAUACUAUGAAGUUUUGCACUUUUUUAUCUGGCUUUUUGACAAGUUAGACCAUAUUAUUAAAAACCUCGGUCCAAUUCUUUCAGUAACUUUCUGGAUUUUUCAAUAGAAUGAACUUACUGAUUGUCAAGGUUUUAAUCUAGGUUAUUACAGAAGAGCUAUCACUCCACAGAAGACACCCCAACUGGCAGGGCAUUCUCUGCAGCUUAAAAUUGCGCACAGGCAGUUGUCUUUUCCUGAAAUCCAAUCAAGUUUUAGAAUUGGCGCCUACCAUCAAGGAAUUUCAAGGGAUCACUAAAAACGAUAACAGAUGUCCAGGUCAGUUUUGUGAUAAACAGUACUAAUGAAAAAAAACAUAGAAAAAUAUUGAAUAUCUGCUGCCAACCAUGAACACGUUACCAGACCAAAACACAUUGCUUGGUUUUCCAAACAAAAACACAAACAGAAUAAGAUUAAGACAUGCCAUUAAAAAUAUUUUAAGAGCUGGGCAUUAUUUCAUGAUGUCACAAAUGUAAGUCUAAAAAUUUUAAAGUGACUUACUUGGCAAAUGCUAGAUUUUGUAGUUUAGGUUUUUGAAAUUUCUAUAUUUCCAUUCUCCACAGUCUGUAAUGCCUAUAUGUCUGUUUUAAUUUUAAAAUACCUUAACUGAAUUAAAAAAAAAUUGUUUUAGUGUCAUGAUUUAA